RNAcentral lists this ribosomal RNA (252 nucleotides) under uncultured bacterium. RNAcentral describes it as "partial 16S ribosomal RNA". It matches the Rfam family "Bacterial small subunit ribosomal RNA", at positions 524 to 776 of the family's 1533-position model. The record is from RNAcentral.
UACGUAGGGUGCAAGCGUUAUCCGGAAUUAUUGGGCGUAAAGAGCUCGUAGGCGGUUUGUUGCGUCUGCUGUGAAAACCGGAGGCUCAACCUCCGGCCUGCAGUGGGUACGGGCAAACUAGAGUGCGGUAGGGGAGAUUGGAAUUCCUGGUGUAGCGGUGGAAUGCGCAGAUAUCAGGAGGAACACCGAUGGCGAAGGCAGAUCUCUGGGCCGUAACUGACGCUGAGGAGCGAAAGCAUGGGAGCGAACAGG